CAAUAGCGUAUAUUUAAGUUGCUGCAGUUAAAAAGCUCGUAGUUGGAUUUCGGGUGGGAAUGGCCGGUCCGCCGUUUCGGUGUGCACUUGCUACGCCCACCUUGCUGCCGGGGACGUGCUCUUGAGUUCACGCUCGGGACACGGAGUCGGCGAGGUUACUUUGAGUAAAUUAGAGUGUUCAAAGCAGGCCUACGCUCUGAAUACAUUAGCAUGGAAUAACACGAUAGGACUCUGGCCUAUCUUGUUGGUCUGUAGGACCGGAGUAAUGAUUAAGAGGGACAGUCGGGGGCCUUCGUAUUUCAUUGUCAGAGGUGAAAUUCUUGGAUUUAUGAAAGACGAACUACUGCGAAAGCAUUUGCCAAGGAUGUUUUCAUUAA
This 377-nucleotide ribosomal RNA is filed under the name uncultured eukaryote. RNAcentral's name for it is "partial 18S ribosomal RNA". It matches the Rfam family "Eukaryotic small subunit ribosomal RNA", at positions 592 to 976 of the family's 1831-position model. The record is from RNAcentral.